UGGCUUUCAAUUUCAAUAGCCCCUGCUC
This 28-nucleotide non-coding RNA is filed under the name Mus musculus (house mouse). Lineage: Eukaryota; Metazoa; Chordata; Mammalia; Rodentia; Muridae. The record is from RNAcentral.